Molecule: ribosomal RNA, 1133 nt
Filed under: human gut metagenome
Description: bacterial LSU rRNA
Rfam family: Bacterial large subunit ribosomal RNA
Source: RNAcentral
AUAGCUCACUAGUCGAGAGGUCCUGCGCCGAAAAUGUCCGGGGCUGAAACACACUGCCGAAGCUCAGGAAUCUGCGAAUGCAGGUUGGUAGAGGAGCAUUCUUAAAGAGACGAAGCUGUACCGAAAGGAGCAGUGGAUUUUUAAGAAGAGAGAAUGCCGGAAUGAGUAGCGAGAAAGAGGUGAGAAUCCUCUUGGCCGAAUAUCUAAGGUUUCCAGGGUAAAGCUGAUCUGCCCUGGGUAAGUCGGGGCCUAAGGCGAGGUCGAAAGACGUAGUCGAUGGAUAACAGGUUGAAAUUCCUGUACUAUCCUGUAACAGAACUGUGGGGACGCAGACAGAGAGCACAAGCCGGGAAUGGAAAGACCGGUGCAAGCGAGGUAGGAGUACAUCAGGCAAAUCCGGUGUGCAAUCCGAAGACGUGAUGCGGAUCGAAAAGAAGUAGAGAAGUGUGUGAGCUGGCUGCCAAGAAAAGCCGCUAUUGUUUACAGGAUACCCGUACCGUAAACCGACACAGGUGGAUGAGGAGAGAAUCCUAAGGCCGACGGGAGAAGCAUUGUUAAGGAACUCGGCAAAAUGACUCCGUAACUUCGGGAGAAGGAGUGCCAUGCGAAUGGCCGCAGAGAAUUGGCCCAAGCAACUGUUUAGCAAAAACACAGGUCUAUGCGAAACCGAAAGGUGAGGUAUAUGGGCUGACGCCUGCCCGGUGCUGGAAGGUUAAGGGGAGAGGUUAGCGCAAGCGAAGCUUUGAACUUAAGCCCCAGUAAACGGCGGCCGUAACUAUAACGGUCCUAAGGUAGCGAAAUUCCUUGUCGGGUAAGUUCCGACCCGCACGAAAGGCGUAAUGAUUUGAGCGCUGUCUCGACAAUGCAUCCGGUGAAAUUGAAGUACCAGUGAAGAUGCUGGUUACCUGCGCCAGGACGGAAAGACCCCAUGGAGCUUUACUCUAGCUUGAUACUGGGAUUCGAUAUUGCAUGUACAGGAUAGGUGGGAGACUAGGAAGUGGUGACGCCAGUUGCCAUGGAGUCAAUGUUGGGAUACCACCCUUGCAGUAUUGGGUUUCUAACCAGCAGCCGUGAUCCGGCUGGGGGACAAUGUCAGGUGGGGAGUUUGACUGGGGCGGUCGCCUCCGAAAGGG